RNAcentral lists this long non-coding RNA (1418 nucleotides) under Phoenix dactylifera (date palm). RNAcentral describes it as "long non-coding RNA (PDAC_LNC000474)". Lineage: Eukaryota; Viridiplantae; Streptophyta; Magnoliopsida; Arecales; Arecaceae. The record is from RNAcentral.
AGAAUGGAUGCCAACUCAGGCAGCCCUUGUCCCUCCGGCCAUAACGAUCCCAAAACUUUAUUCUUUAACGUGUCUCUGAUUUUAUUUUUAUUUUUAGUUAAAAAGAGGAGCUGAAAGCUAACUUUGGAAUGAAACGUGUCUCUGAAUUCCUCUAAACGGUGCCGUUUCUCAAUUCAGAUUACACGUGUGUCCCGCUAAAUAAUACGUACCAUCAUCGUCCUUCCAUUAUUUGUUUUUUUUUCUAAUGAAAAGGGGUAGGAGAGGAAGGGACAAGCUCACCCCGCAUAGCAGCCUCUAUUGGGCCUCCAUCCUGCCAGAAGAAUAUUCGAUGCGGGCAGAAAUGGCCGUGUGUUGGGCAUCCCGACCAGUUUUACUCAUGCCUUCCCCACCCAUGGACCCGGCUCAACUACCCCUCUGGUCUCUGGCUCGAGUCCCAAGUGUGAGUACGUCACACCUGGUACCACCCCGGCUACUAGCGGUCCAAGAGCGAUCCUAUACUUCAUGUCCAAGCAGUGGCCGAAGCCACAUUUUAAUUAUCGCCGCAGCGACUUAAAUUUGGAACCAUGAGGUUAGAAUUUCCGCCCAGUACCACUAGGCUACCACCUUGGUGGCCCUUCCAUUAUUUGUUCCCGGGAUAUUAAUUUCAGGAAAACCACGAAACGAACUCCAUCGCUGUCCCACCAUCUUUUCCUUCGCAAAACCGCCUCCCCGAUCACUCACAAUCUACAAUGACAAAGCCUUCCACUUCCAUCUACGGUAGUGAGCAAACGCCCCGCCCUCUGUGUUUUUUCCUUUUUAUAUAACAAACAAACGAGAACUUAAAAUUUUACAAAAAAAAUAAUUUCCACAGAUUUUUCUUCACAUUUUGUUUUUUUUUAGACGGGCAUUUCACAGUACGCGAGUAUGAAGACGUCCAAUAAAAUCAGAUAACACUUUAUCACGGAGAGCCAUAUACAACUCUCUUCCAUGCAUCCACACAGUGCCGCGCCACAUAAGAGGCCGCUGAGAUACCAAUAAAAUCAGAAAACAAUAUAUCACGGAGAGCCAUAGGCAACUCUCCCCGUGCAUCCACAUAGUGCCGCGCCAUGUAAAAGGCCAUCCAAUCAGUGGCCCCAUUAGCCUUUCUAGAAACAUGUUUAGUUAGGAAGGCGUCCUCAUCUCUACCCAUAGCCCAAAUAUCUCAGAGUAGGGAUGAUCCCACCCUGACACCUUCGGACCCUCCUGGAUCCACCCUAUAAUAGUGGCUAAGUCGCCCUCCAUAAUAAUAGAGCGGGCCUACAAUACUCGCUGUGCAUAUCGAAGGCCCUUCCAUACAGCCAUCAGCUCGGCGCUGGGAACCGAGGUCUCUGCUAGCUGACAGCCACCGACCGCUACUACACGAGAGCACGGGUUCCUAAUAACAAACCCAGCACCCCCUC